Molecule: ribosomal RNA, 254 nt
Filed under: uncultured bacterium
Lineage: Bacteria
Description: partial 16S ribosomal RNA
Rfam family: Bacterial small subunit ribosomal RNA
Source: RNAcentral
UACGAAGGGUGCAAGCGUUUAAUCGGAAUUACUGGGCGUAAAGCGUGCGUAGGCGGUUUGUUAAGUCUGCUGUGAAAUCCCCGGGCUCAACCUGGGAAUGGCAGUGGAUACUGGCAAGCUAGAGUGUGUCAGAGGAUGGUGGAAUUCCCGGUGUAGCGGUGAAAUGCGUAGAGAUCGGGAGGAACAUCAGUGGCGAAGGCGGCCAUCUGGGACAACACUGACGCUGAGGCACGAAAGCGUGGGGAGCAAACAGG